Biomphalaria pfeifferi is the source of this 906-nucleotide non-coding RNA. Lineage: Eukaryota; Metazoa; Mollusca; Gastropoda; Planorbidae. The record is from the annotation of a GenBank genome assembly.
CCUGAUUGAAAAUAUACUCUUUUAUUGAUGAACACUACUAAUAACCAACAAAUUUUAAUGAAACAAUGUGGAAUGUACAGGUUUAAAAAAAUAUUUUUAAAACUAAGAGAUUUGAAUAUAAGGUGAUUGUAAAUACUUCAGUGAAAUUACUAUCAAAAAGACUCAAAAAAUUUAUUUUUCAAUAAUCCAAUAACAAUCCUUUUAAAAAAGGUAAUUUAAAAAUUAUAAAGAUACACAAUAUUGAGCCGCUUAAACAAUUUAAUGUAGGCUAAAUUAUGUGCAAAAUGAAACAAAAUUUUUAAAAUCACUAUAUUCUAACCAUCAAUAGACUAGAAAUAUAAUGUAUUUUGAAUUACAAAAAUAUCUUUAGGCAUACACACAUAUACACACACAUGACAUACACCUAAUACAACAGUUAAAAAAAAUUGACUUAAUAUGCUUUUUUAUGGUAGACAGCGACUUAGUCUAGGUUACAAGGUUUAAGAAAUCAAGAAUGUCUAAUAUGUGCACCAUCAAAAUUUAUUGCUAUGCAAGCUUCAUUUAUUUUUAUUUAUUGUAAAUAGAGUAAAGGAUGGAAUGUCUAGGAAAUCAACAUUCUCAAAUAACUCAUGAAAAUAAAUUAAAUGCAAAUAAAUGCUAAAUAACUUUCUAAUGUGUUUCUUUUCCACACUGAAUGAGCUGAAUGUAAUGAAAGUAUAAUCAACUACUAUCAGCCCACAUUUAAUUUGCCACUUCCUAGUCUUUACAAUAAAAAAUAUUCUAAAUGUAUAAUACAUUUUUCAUUUAAUAUAUAUAAAAACAAUAAAUGUUACAUAAACAAAUCAAAUGUUGGAACUAUUUUCAUUUUUAUUAGGGUACAUUCUACUUAAGAAAAAAAAAAAAAAAGAACAAAUUCACUAAUGGACU